GCAACUUUGGAAGGUUCUCUCAUUCUCAAGAAAGAAAUGUUCAUCAUCCAUUAUCUCCCACCCCCCCAAAAAAAAACGAAUCCAAAAUCUCCAGAAGAAUUUUUAAUCAUCUAUUCAGUAGUUCUCAUUUAAAUCUUUUCUUCAUAACAGUUAACACUGGUCUCCUUCAUCUUCUGGGUUGGAAGUUUUGUUUCAGGUCAAGCGAAUCUAUUAAAAUCUUAAAUUUUGGUUAUUGGAGCUGGAGGUUUAGGAUCACCUGCUUUACUAUAUUUUGCUGCUUAUAGAGUUGGCCGAAUAGGUAUCGUUGAUCAUGAUAUAUUGGAACCUAAUGAUCUGUAGAGGCAUGCACUAUUUGUUGACAGUCUACAAUUACAAUGGAGGUCCAUGCUAUCGAUUCGUAUUUCCAACUCCUCCACCCACAAAUGCUUGUCAGAGAUGUGCCGAAAGUGGAGUACUGAGAGUGGGUCAAACUUCGUGGAAGGUCAUUGCAGUGCGAAGCUUGUGGAGAUCAUGCAGUAUUGACAAGGCCCACAUUUCUGGAUUUCAACUAUGAUAAGUUUAAUCAAACUCCACUAUCUACGGUUAUUUUAUUUUCACAACUUUUCAAUCGUAUUUGAUGUUUAUUGUCCUUUCUUUUUUUGUAUACAACUAAAGACAUAGUGAAAGUAUUCACAUGUGGGUCAUCAUGUAAUUGUCUAUUGUUUCAAGGUCCAUUGAAUUUGAACCUUCUUUCAUCGGAUGCUCAAAUCAGCAGCAUAGAACACAGUGAGAAAGUGAUAAAGAGAGAAGCACAUGUAUUAGUGGAUGUUCGACCUGCUCAUGUCUAUAAGAUUGUUUCACUUUCCAACUCUAUGAACAUACCUCUAUCAUAUUGGAAAACAGAUUGCCUAAAAUAUCUACCGCCUUGGAAAAAAAGGCAAAGAAAAAGACACUCAAUAGUGAUUCAAGUACUUCUCUGUUGUAAUAUCUAGAAGAGGCUAUGAUUCAUAAAGGGUUGUUGAAUUGCUUUACAAAUUGGGGUUCAGUUCAGCUAAGGAUAUAAUUGGGGGCUUAGAGUCAUGGGCUCACAAUGUGAAUCCAAAGUUCCCUAUAUACUAACUAUAUUCAUACAAAAUUAUCAUCCAUACUUCGGUUAGUUUCUCGCCUAUCCUGUGAUGUCUUUAAUCAAAUGUGUAGUUUGUGUACUAGAUUGAGCACCUAUUUUUAACUGAAUGUUGAAGUUCGAUGAUUGGUCGUCGUACUAUUUCGAUUGUUGUUUAACAUUUUUUAUGUCAAUGCAUACACUAGAUUGCUUUUAUCUUCAAAUAUAGCUUCUUGUAGACAUGAGAAGAACAUGUAACGAUUCUCAGAAUAGUGUGAAUAGAAUUAGUUGGAAGAAAGGGAUAUAUAAAACCAAAGGUGUUUUCUAAUAGCUCUUCCAUUCUAGACCUACAUUCUUUAGUCUAGAUGAAAGAAAUGGCCAUGAGUUGAGAUGUCAAAAAGUGGACAACAAUUUGGAUAAACUUUAUUUCUGUUAAGAAUGGGUUAGAGGAUUUUUCAUUUUCUGCGAGUGACAAUGUUACUGGAAAUCACAUAUUUUCAAUUGAUUAACCUUUUUUCUCUGAAAACAAUCUCUCUACCUCUAUGAGGUAGGGGUAAGGACUGUGUAUACUUUACCUUCCCAGACCCCACUACAUUGGGUAUUUUAUCAGUGUUGUUAAUGCUUGUUUUCUUUCUGUUGCAAACUUUUUGUUGCUACUAGAUUUGUUUUCAAUAAACCAAUUAUCUGAUGAUUUAGGACAUACACUAAAUUGUUGCAGGGAUAUCCUCUAUAUGUUCAGCUGUGAGUUCCCAUGAUUCCUCUCAACUAAGUGGAUCAAGGUCGAAUAGCUUCAUUAUUCAAUAAUACUACUCCAAUCUAUCCGCCAGAAUUGCUGCUAAAAAAGCUGGAUAUCCCAAGUGUGUGCUAUUUUUUUAAUCUAUAAUAUGUUGAAAAUACUAUGCCAUUUUUAAUUUGUUGAUGAUGAUUGUAUUGUGCAAACUUUUCUCGAUUUGUAUUUUACAGUUUAGUUGAGCAGGUUUUUGGUUCGGAUCCUAGGGACAACCCUAAAAAAGUCAUGACUUGAGGUA
Long non-coding RNA from Capsicum annuum, 2109 nucleotides. RefSeq lists it as uncharacterized. The transcript is spliced from 4 exons. The record is from RefSeq and is a predicted model, not a curated record. Lineage: Eukaryota; Viridiplantae; Streptophyta; Magnoliopsida; Solanales; Solanaceae.